Non-coding RNA from Cajanus cajan (pigeon pea), 1261 nucleotides. Lineage: Eukaryota; Viridiplantae; Streptophyta; Magnoliopsida; Fabales; Fabaceae. The record is from RefSeq and is a predicted model, not a curated record.
GAGACGAAUGUGUACAUCUACAUCGGUUCAAGUAGUAACCGAUGUAGUAUAGUAGGAGCCCUUUCCCACGGAAAAUUCCGUUUAAGCAUCUUGUUCAACACAAAAAGUCGCGCGACCCAGCCAUCGUUGAAUCGCCAUUUCCCCCCGAAGAACCCUGUCUCGAAGCAUCUUGUUUGCUUUGUUUGGUGACCUGUGCAAGCCAUUUCCCCCGAAGAACCCUCUUUCAAAGCAUCAUCUUCUUCUACAAAGAAGUGCGUGCAAGCGGUAUGGUGGAACCCUAAAUCGUGUUUCUUCUCUACACGAAAGUUGAAGGUGUGAUAGGCGAUUUGUUUCGCUUGGCCCGAGCAUUGUGGUGAACCUAAGGAAUUUAGUUUUGGUUAGGGUUCCAGGGGGUUUAAGUUGGUGGAUGCGGUUGUAAAAGUUCCCUUCUGGUAGCAUUGAGGCACAAAAGUGGCUUGAGGUUAGCUAUUGAGUUUUAUUAGGUAACAUGUUAUAAAACUUGAUUCCAGGGUUAUCGUGUGUAGUUUAUUAUUAUUUUUAUCUUAAACAUGAUUAUAACAAAAGUCACAUUAUUUUUUCAAUUUUUUACAUUGGUGACAUUACAAAGUAUGAAGUCCUAUUACUUUCUAAUUGAACUCCUUUCACUGAUGAAGGUUGCAGCCAUAUUUUUUAGUUGCAUAUGAAUUCUACUUAUAAAGGAUUUACUGAUUUUAAUCCAAGCCAAGCCAUUCUAUUUGGUUGAAGUUUUCCACAAUAUUGAGAAGCUAUGGAGUGGUUCAAGGAAGUGAUGUCUAUUUUAUAUAGUUUUAAUGUGUUCUAACAACCCAAUAAUUUUAUUGUCUCUUUCAACUAUGUUUCCAAUGCAGCUUCAUAACAACAAACUAUGAUACCCUAUACAAUGGUCAAAGUUAAUUUAGAGCUCCCAAAUCAACAACUUCAACUUGCUUUAUUUGGAGUUGGCUCGGGAAUGUUAGAAUUGGAGACUAAUAAGAACUAGAGCAACCAAUCAACACUAUAGUUUGCUGCCAACCUUUAUAUUGUUCUAUAGUACUAAAUUUUCAUUCAUCACAAUCUUUUUAUGUUGUUUUUUGUAAUAUAUUUUUCUAAGUUAUAGCUGGCUGUCAUAGUCUUAUAGGGAUAAGACUGUAAUUCCUUUUUAUUUGUCUAUUCUAUUCAUUAUACUUCUAGUUUUGAUAUAUAUAAAUAUACAUUAUGAAGCUAAGUGAAGUAAGACACACUUAAGCUUGUCUUUGGUAUUCAA